CAAACGGCCCUUUUCAGGGCCACCGAAUGCCUUUAACUGCAAUAAG
Molecule: non-coding RNA, 46 nt
Organism: Trichuris suis (pig whipworm)
Lineage: Eukaryota; Metazoa; Nematoda; Enoplea; Trichinellida; Trichuridae
Source: Rfam